CUGGGGAAUGUUUGUGAUGUUUGAGUUCAAAACAAAUUUGAAGUCCACAUGCCCAACCAUACAAGCUUUUGGAAGAACCAGCUCAAAGACAUGUUCAUCCCAGCUGUUGCUGUCUGUCUGUAGCUUCCAAGUUCGAGUGUGCUGAGCUGCAUCUCCAUGGUGCUGCUGGUGCAAAUGCUGAGGAUGCCUCCUUUGCUGCUGUUCUUGCUGGACUUCUACCCAACAGGGAGGGACAGUGGCUGAAAAUCGUGGUGUCAAGGUCUCAAAACGGGUCAGUUCUACCAGAGAUGUCAGUGUUUCAAGGGAAAAUGGCUGGUCCACCAAAAGAUCAACUCCUGUAAUGCCUGGGCUAGAAGGGUUAGAUAAUGGCUUGAUGCCUUCUGAUGACUGCUCUACACUUUUGGAGAGGGAUCCAUCUACAAGUAUAUCAGUUUCAUCUAUGUCAUCACACGUUCCUCCAAUCUGAAGGAAAUGAAGUUCUCCACCUUUGGUGCAUGCACAUAAUCUGUCUGUGCCCGAACAGUAUAUCACCGAGACAAACAUAUCUGGUUCCUCAGUGCCCUCUUUUUUAGGUGGCUCCACUUUGGCCAGAAUUUCAAAGUUCGAAAGAUCUAGUAUUUUUACAUAUCCUCCCUGAGUAGUUAUUACCAGGUGCCCAAGAGUAGAGAUCUCAGAUCUUCUCUCUCUCCCACUGCCAUUUUUAGAAGUCAAUUGCAUUUCCUCUACAGGUUCUUCACAGUCAUCCUCUCGAUUAUCCAAUAUAUCUGGUGGGAGUAAAAUCAUUGAGGUAAUUGUGUCUUGGGGGUCUUUGAUAUGCUGGAUUUUUACCGGUUCCUCCUCUAAAGUAACUAUUCUAGUGGCAUAAUUCAUUUUAUAAAGCACUAGGUAUCCACCACUAACACUUCUCUGUUCAGGCUGAAUUAUUAAAGGAGUUGUUACAUCUGCUGGUGGCUCAUGUUGGAUUACAUCGAUACUUGUGCCAUUCACUACAGCAAGACUUGAUUCUAUUUCACCCUUCCUUCUAUUACAUAGUGCUGAGUUUAAUUUAUUUAAAUUAUUCAAGGCCUCUACUUGAUUUAUUGCACUCAGAGAUUCGACAGGACAAGUCCGAAGUCCUACUAAUAAAUGAACUCCAUCUGCACAAGGAGUGAUUGAAUCUACACACAGGUUCUCC
RNAcentral lists this long non-coding RNA (1174 nucleotides) under Gallus gallus (chicken). Lineage: Eukaryota; Metazoa; Chordata; Aves; Galliformes; Phasianidae. The record is from RNAcentral.